AAUAACUAGAAACCAUCUCCCAUAUCAGACACCAAACCCAUUUUCCCCAAAAUUAAAUCCCCCAAAUCCCUAAGUUGUCACCGCCCUCUCCACCAUCGAUUCGACAUCAUACAGCCGCCGUUGAGUGCACUGCCACCCCUAUCGUGAUCGUCGUCUUGCUCCGACUAAAACAUGACCACAAUCCUGCCGUAAGACAACCCACUCAUCGUGGAAAUCAACAUGAAGCUUCACCAGAGAAACAAGCCUUUGCCUCGAUUUUCUUCGUUUUCCGUCGGAUCCGGUGGUCGUCUCAGCUCACCGCCCUCACCCUUGCAUUUCAUAGGUGAUUCCGAUCAAAACCCAGGUGGGUUCGUCGUCUCUCCGUCGCUGCUCUGUUCAACCACCAUGGGUGAGUUAUUAGUCACUUUUAUGGUCAUUUUAAUUGUGAUUGUGGCUUGUAUUGGAUUUAAUUCGUGUUGUUUGGCUAUGUGGAUGCUUUUGGAGUAAUCGGAUCACCUCAACAACCCCUGUCAUCGUCGUACGCACUGUCGGUGCGCGUGGGACUUCUCGACCAACCAAUGAAGCUAUAGAUCUGGUCUGGUCAGACCAAACCGAUUCAAAUCGGUCCAAACCGACUCGACCGAUUCAACUCAGUACUCGUGACUCUCCCGAUCGUUCGACAGCUUAACCCAACUCCUCUCGAUCCAUUUGACCCCGUCAGCCAAUGAUUACAUGUUCGAGCAUUGUUGCAGAGCAUGACGAGACAGGUGCUCAGUAGACUCACUGACUGUCCCCUUUUUGCUAAGUGUGUUCCCUAUGUGCUAUAUGAUUAUUUUAUCUGUUUUGAUAUGCGAUUUACCGAAACUACUAAUAUAUUGAAUCUUUUCGAUAUUAUG
Molecule: long non-coding RNA, 875 nt
Organism: Hibiscus syriacus
Lineage: Eukaryota; Viridiplantae; Streptophyta; Magnoliopsida; Malvales; Malvaceae
Exons: 3
Source: RefSeq, a predicted model, not a curated record